Molecule: microRNA precursor, 132 nt
Filed under: Populus trichocarpa (black cottonwood)
Lineage: Eukaryota; Viridiplantae; Streptophyta; Magnoliopsida; Malpighiales; Salicaceae
Description: MIR480 microRNA precursor family
Rfam family: MIR480 microRNA precursor family
Source: Rfam by way of RNAcentral
UAACUUAUCCAAGGCAAAUACUUUUUUAAUUGUGACAGAUUCACACCUGAUUACUUAGAAUCAUUUGUUUUCUCAAUUCUGGCUGCAUCAAUUACUCAUGUUGAAUUUAAAAUGUUUAUUUUGAUAUAAAAA